Molecule: ribosomal RNA, 383 nt
Filed under: uncultured eukaryote
Lineage: Eukaryota
Description: partial 18S ribosomal RNA
Rfam family: Eukaryotic small subunit ribosomal RNA
Source: RNAcentral
CAAUAGCGUAUAUUAAAGUUGUUGCAGUUAAAAAGCUCGUAGUCGGAUUUCUGGUGGGAGCGAUCGGUCUGGCGCUUAGCGCGAGUACUUGCAUCGUCUCCGGCCAUCCUUGGGGAGAGUCUGUCUGGCAUUAGGUUGUCGGGCAGAGGAUCCUCAUCGUUUACUGUGAAAAAAUUAGAGUGUUCAAAGCAGGCUUAUGCCGUUGAAUAUAUUAGCAUGGAAUAAUAAGAUAGGACUUUGGUACUAUUUUGUUGGUUUGCGCACCAAAGUAAUGAUUAAUAGGGACAGUUGGGGGUAUUCGUAUUCCGUUGUCAGAGGUGAAAUUCUUGGAUUUACGGAAGACGAACUACUGCGAAAGCAUUUACCAAGGAUGUUCUCAUUAA